AACGCACCUUGCGCUCCUUGGUAUUCCUUGGAGCAUGCCUGUUUGAGUGUCUUGAAUAUCUCUGCUCCCUCAUUUUUUAAUUAAAGUGGGUUUGGAGUCAGGUCCUUGGGCUUGCUUGCGCUUUGUUACUAAAGACAAGCUUGCCUUAAAUGCAUUAGCUGGAUUUCAGUAGAGUUGUUAAGUAACAUUGAAAACUCUCGUAAUAUGGAGUCUGCUCAUAACUUAAGUCUGUCUUAAUUGACGGCGAUAUUCAUUUUCUUUGGCCUCAAAUCAGGUAGGACUACCCGCUGAACUUAA
This 297-nucleotide unclassified non-coding RNA is filed under the name Lactarius sp. (in: basidiomycete fungi). RNAcentral describes it as "partial contains 5.8S ribosomal RNA, internal transcribed spacer 2, and large subunit ribosomal RNA". Lineage: Eukaryota; Fungi; Basidiomycota; Agaricomycetes; Russulales; Russulaceae. The record is from RNAcentral.